CUCAGUUCGGAUCGGAGUCUGCAACCCGACUCCGUGAAGCUGGAUUCGCUAGUAAUCGCGCAUCAGCCAUGGCGCGGUGAAUACGUUCCCGGGCCUUGUACACACCGCCCGUCAAGCCAUGGGAGCCGGGGGUGCUUGAAGUGCGUAACCGCGAGGAGCGCCCUAGGGUAAAACUGGUGACUGGGGCUAAGUCGUAACAAGGUAAC
RNAcentral lists this ribosomal RNA (206 nucleotides) under uncultured bacterium. RNAcentral's name for it is "partial 16S ribosomal RNA". It matches the Rfam family "Bacterial small subunit ribosomal RNA", at positions 1287 to 1500 of the family's 1533-position model. The record is from RNAcentral.